RNAcentral lists this ribosomal RNA (170 nucleotides) under uncultured bacterium. RNAcentral describes it as "partial 16S ribosomal RNA". The record is from RNAcentral.
GCACGAUAGUUUAGCCGGUGCCUUAUUCUUAAGGUACCGAUCAUGGGACCCCAGGGUAUUAACCAGCAGUCUUUUCGUUCCGUACAAAAACAGUUUACAACCCGAAGGCCUUCAUCCUGCACGCGGCAUGGGCAUGGAUCAGGCUUUCGCCCAUUGUCCAAAAUCCCCCA